UUUAUAACUCCACGCUACCGGCCUGUACUUACACUUUGAGGUGAAGUAAAAUGCAAGAAAGUAAAUCUAUGCUACUUUUAGUACCCAAUUGCGUUUAUAAAUCCAUGCAAUCGGCCCUAUACUUCUCUUUUGCUCAAGGAUAAAACCUGCAGAGGUUAUCCACAUUCCACGAAUGCGGCAGCUCCUCCCCCUCUUCAUUGGCCAAUCAAUAAGCCCUUGGCCUCACACUGUUU
This 233-nucleotide long non-coding RNA is filed under the name Setaria viridis. Its description in RNAcentral is "long non-coding RNA (SVIR_LNC010305)". The record is from RNAcentral. Lineage: Eukaryota; Viridiplantae; Streptophyta; Magnoliopsida; Poales; Poaceae.